UACGGAAGGCAGCAGUGGGGAAUAUUGCACAAUGGGCGAAAGCCUGAUGCAGCUAUGCCGCGUGUAUGAAGAAGGCCUUAGGGUUGUAAAGUACUUUUCAUCGGGGAGGAAAAACAAAACUAAUAAUUUUAUUUCUUGACGUUACCCGAAAAAGAAGCACCGGCUAACUCCGUGCCAGCAGCCGCGGUAAUACGGAGGGUGCUAGCGUUAAUCAGAAUUACUGGGCGUAAAGAGCACGUAGGUGGUUUUUUUAAAGUCAGAUGUGAAAUCCCUGGGCUUAACCUAGGAACUGCAUUUUGAAACUGAAAUACUAGAGUAUCGUAGAGGGAGGUAGAAUUCUAGGUGUAGCGGUGAAAUGCGUAGAUAUCUGGAGGAAUACCUGUGGCGAAAGCGGCCUCCUAAACGAAUACUGACACUGAGGUGCGAAAGCGUGGGGAGCAAACAGGGAUUAGAUACC
This 457-nucleotide ribosomal RNA is filed under the name uncultured bacterium. Its description in RNAcentral is "bacterial SSU rRNA". It matches the Rfam family "Bacterial small subunit ribosomal RNA", at positions 340 to 786 of the family's 1533-position model. The record is from RNAcentral.